AUGCAUGUGUGAACUCUACACCUCUGCAUACAACUUUUUGUGUAGUAUUUACAAUGGAAAAAAAUUGGUUUAUGGAGCUUAUUUCUAAUCAUUCUUCAAACGUAGUUUUUACUGCUAGCCUCUUGAUACUGGAGUGGUUACUGGAAGCAGACUUUGUGUGUCCGUGCUCUUUUGGAUGGAAUGUAGUAUUUACUACUGCGUUCUUUUGCAUUCCAGCUUUUUUAUUAUUAUUUCUCUUGGCAAAAAAGGAGGCAUGCCACUGUUGUUGUAUAAUGAAAAUUCUUUUUCCACCAUUUGCAUGGGUGACUGUGCUGCUAUAUGAUGGAAAAUAUGUGGCAUGUGGGUUCACUCACUAGGAAGGAAUAUAUAUGCCCCUAGACAGGGGUACUUCUCAGAAGUGGUGCAGACCCCUUAAUGACACACAAGAAAUUAAAGAUAAGAUGGUUUUGUCUCAAAGAUAUUACUUAUAUUCUCAGGCUGCAGCUUUGGCCUGUAUUACUGUGAUUAUGCUGGGAGCAUUCGUGUGGAAGGUACGAGAGUGCUGCAGAGAACACAACACCCCCUCCAACAGCACUGAAAUGAAUCCUCUCACAGAUGAACAAAAAGUGGAAGAAACUAUUGUUAAAAUUAUAGACUCAUUGAAGAAGAAGUACAGUGAACAAACCAAUCAUCCUUCUGGGUCGCAGGGUGCCGACUCCAAUUAGCCUCAGCAUGUCUUUGGACUGUGGGGAGAAACCGGAGUGCCGGGAGGAAACCCCACGAAGACAUGGGGAGAACAUGCAAACUCCACACACAUGUAACCCAGGCAGAGACUCAAACGUGGGGCCCAGAGGUGUGAGGCAACAGUGCUAACCACUGCACCACCAUGCUGCCCUCAGUCAAUGAACUAGCACCAGCCAAUUAUAAUGAACCAACAUUUUUUUAUAAACUCAGAAACAGGUUAUCAUUGCUUGUACUCUUAUUUGUUUUCCAGUUGCUGUGUACUAUGCAUGAAUAUGGCAUUCUGAUAAAUAAAUGCAGGGUGUUUGUAUAUAUGUAAAAUCUGAAUAAACAUACAGUAUAUGUGUAUAUAUACACUGUGUAUACAUGUUUAGAUUUUUGUAAUGCAAAAUUAUUGAUGUUAUCCAUUAGUAUGUACAUAGCAUUAAACCUACCUUUUAAGCAUCGCAUUUAUGUUUUCAUUAAUGUUUAACGUAUGGAAGUAAAUUAAUGAAAAAAGUAAUUGAUGCAAAGAUGCUUGUUGAAUUACAUUAAUGGAGUAAAACGCAUUGCAUUUAAUAAUGCUUGAAUAUUUGGGGGUUGUAAUUUUAUAUGAAUGUAAAUUUAAGCAUGGAAUAAUUCAGCUGAAAAUAUUUCAGUUGUAAUUUCAUUGGUAAAAUAAUCAAUGCAAAAAUAUUCGCCUUCCACAAUUGAGUUCCAAAAUAUACAGUUCAUUUUUGUAAUUCAAUCAUCUGAAUUAUAAACUUUUGCCUGAAAAUAAAUUUUGGAAUUCAGUUGGAAACAUUCAAUGUGUUUUAAUGGCAUCUUCAUAAUUCAAGAGGUAAUAUUCAGUCCUUUUAUUUUCGCUUUAUAUGUGGAUUAUGUGGAUUAUUAUUAGGAUUAAAUGUUCCCCACAAUGUAAUAAUAACCUGUUAUUUUGACAUUAUGAGGACCAUUUUUAGGUCCCCACAAAGAUCUGUGAAUGCAAUCAAUAAACUAAAAAUGCCCAAAAUCUCA
Molecule: non-coding RNA, 1716 nt
Organism: Paramormyrops kingsleyae
Lineage: Eukaryota; Metazoa; Chordata; Actinopteri; Osteoglossiformes; Mormyridae
Source: RefSeq, a predicted model, not a curated record